UACGUAGGGUCCAAGCGUUAAUCGGAAUUACUGGGCGUAAAGCGUGCGCAGGCGGUUUUGUAAGCCAGAUGUGAAAUCCCCGGGCUUAACCUGGGAAUGGCAUUUGGGACUGCAAGGCUCGAGUGCGGCAGAGGAGACUGGAAUUCCUGGUGUAGCAGUGAAAUGCGUAGAUAUCAGGAGGAACACCGAUGGCGAAGGCAGGUCUCUGGGCUGACACUGACGCUCAUGCACGAAAGCGUGGGGAGCAAACAGG
Molecule: ribosomal RNA, 253 nt
Filed under: uncultured bacterium
Lineage: Bacteria
Description: partial 16S ribosomal RNA
Rfam family: Bacterial small subunit ribosomal RNA
Source: RNAcentral